ACAUUUAUCAUUACGGAAACAGAUCCACUCGACUCUCUCUACUCGAACCCUGUCGCAGUGUGUGUGAGCCGAGUGUAUCAGAGCCGAGUGUUAGCUGGAAGCUGGUGUUCAGUGUGUGUGUUGUGUGUGUUCUCCUCUCCUCACUCCUCUCCUCCAUCUGUGUGUACUGCCUCUGCACAAACACCACUAAAGGUUCUGAAAAGAGGGGAGAGCCACUCACUGAAAAUGACUUUCAGGUGCAUCAGUGUGAGAGGAGUGUAAACGGGGAGUUCUGUUGUCACACUGAAGUCUUUUACACACUUCAGAAACCAGCAAUCAAAUCAGACUAAACACACACACACACACACACACACUUUGACUUGCUUCACUUGUUUUCUUGGCGUUAUAGUGUGCACUUAUUUGUAGAUGAUCAGUGUGUGUUUGCCCUCUUUAAAUGAAUCAAAUCUUCUGUUUGUAAUAAAAAACUUUACAAAUCAAUAAUCAAUAAAGACAAAUCUAUUUUUACCUCA
This is a long non-coding RNA of Pangasianodon hypophthalmus (striped catfish), 509 nucleotides long. RefSeq lists it as uncharacterized. Lineage: Eukaryota; Metazoa; Chordata; Actinopteri; Siluriformes; Pangasiidae. The record is from RefSeq and is a predicted model, not a curated record. The transcript has 4 exons.